CCUACGGGUGGCAGCAGUGGGGAAUAUUGCGCAAUGGGCGAAAGCCUGACGCAGCGACGCCGCGUGAGGGAUGAAGGUCUUCUGAUCGUAAACCUCCGUUAGUAGGGAAGAACGGUCACUGUGCUAAUCAGCAGUGCAUUGACGGUACCUGCAAAGGAAGCACCGGCUAACUCCGUGCCAGCAGCCGCGGUAAUACGGAGGGUGCGAGCGUUAAUCGGAAUUACUGGGCGUAAAGGGCUCGUAGGCGGUAUGUCAAGUCAAGGGUGAAAGCCCCGGGCUCAACGUGGGAACUGCCGUUGAAACUGGCAGACUGGAGUGUAUGAGAGGAAGGUGGAAUUCCAGGUGUAGCAGUGAAAUGCGUAGAUAUCUGGAAGAACAUCAGUGGCGAAGGCGGCUAGCUGGAACGUAACUGACGCUGAGGAGCGAAAGCGUGGGUAGCAAACAGGAUUAGAUACCCGAGUAGUC
This 465-nucleotide ribosomal RNA is filed under the name uncultured bacterium. RNAcentral's name for it is "partial 16S ribosomal RNA". It matches the Rfam family "Bacterial small subunit ribosomal RNA", at positions 338 to 795 of the family's 1533-position model. The record is from RNAcentral.